Molecule: ribosomal RNA, 253 nt
Filed under: uncultured bacterium
Lineage: Bacteria
Description: partial 16S ribosomal RNA
Rfam family: Bacterial small subunit ribosomal RNA
Source: RNAcentral
UACGGAGGGUGCAAGCGUUAUCCGGAUUCACUGGGUUUAAAGGGUGCGUAGGUGGGUUGGUAAGUCAGUGGUGAAAUCUCCGAGCUUAACUUGGAAACUGCCAUUGAUACUAUCAGUCUUGAAUACCGUGGAGGUCAGCGGAAUACGUCAUGUAGCGGUGAAAUGCUUAGAUAUGACAUAGAACACCAAUUGCGAAGGCAGCUGACUACGCGAAUAUUGACACUGAUGCACGAAAGCGUGGGGAUCAAACAGG